GUACACACCGCCCGUCACACCAUGAGAGUCGGGAACACCCGAAGUCCGUAGCCUAACCGCAAGGGGGGCGCGGCCGAAGGUGGGUUCGAUAAUUGGGGUGAAGUCGUAACAAGGUAAC
This 118-nucleotide ribosomal RNA is filed under the name uncultured bacterium. Its description in RNAcentral is "partial 16S ribosomal RNA". It matches the Rfam family "Bacterial small subunit ribosomal RNA", at positions 1383 to 1500 of the family's 1533-position model. The record is from RNAcentral.